UAGGGAAUCUCCACAAUGGACGCAAGUCUGAUGGAGCAACGCCGCGUGAGUGAAGAAGGUUUUCGGACCGUAAAGCUCUGUUGUUGGUGAAGAAGGAUAGAGGUAGUAACUGGCCUUUAUUUGACGGUAAUCAACCAGAAAGUCACGGCUAACUACGUGCCAGCAGCCGCGGUAAUACGUAGGUGGCAAGCGUUGUCCGGAUUUAUUGGGCGUAAAGCGAGCGCAGGCGGAAGAAUAAGUCUGAUGUGAAAGCCCUCGGCUUAACCGAGGAAUUGCAUCGGAAACUGUUUUCUUGAGUGCAGAAGAGGAGAGUAGAACUCCAUGUGUAGCGGUGGAAUGCGUAGAUAUAUGGAAGAAUACCAGUGGCGAAGGCGGCUCUCUGGUCUGCAACUGACGCUGAGGCUCGAAAGCAUGGGUAGCGAACAGGAUUAGAUACCCUUGGUAGUCCAUGCCGUAAACGAUGAGUGCUAAGUGUUGGGAGGCUUCCGCCUCUCAGUGCUGCAGCUAACGCAUUAAGCACUCCGCCUGGGGGAGUACGACCGCAAGGUUGAAAC
This 554-nucleotide ribosomal RNA is filed under the name uncultured bacterium. Its description in RNAcentral is "partial 16S ribosomal RNA". It matches the Rfam family "Bacterial small subunit ribosomal RNA", at positions 355 to 900 of the family's 1533-position model. The record is from RNAcentral.